UGGGGGAUAUUGCACAAUGGGCGAAAGCCUGAUGCAGCGACGCCGCGUGGGGGAUGAAGGCUUUCGGGUUGUAAACCUCUUUCGCUAUCGAACAAGGCCCGCUUAGGGUGGGUUGAGGGUAGGUGGAGAAGAAGCGCCGGCUAACUACGUGCCAGCAGCCGCGGUAAUACGUAGGGCGCGAGCGUUGUCCGGAAUUAUUGGGCGUAAAGGGCUUGUAGGCGGCUUGUUGCGCCUGCUGUGAAAACGCGGGGCUUAACUUCGCGCGUGCAGUGGGUACGGGCAGGCUUGAGUGUGGUAGGGGUGACUUGAAUUCCAGGUGUAGCGGUGGAAUGCGCAGAUAUCUGGAGGAACACCGAUGGCGAAGGCAGGUCACUGGGCCAUUACUGACGCUGAGGAGCGAAAGCAUGGGUAGCGAACAGG
This 420-nucleotide ribosomal RNA is filed under the name bacterium. Its description in RNAcentral is "partial 16S ribosomal RNA". It matches the Rfam family "Bacterial small subunit ribosomal RNA", at positions 355 to 776 of the family's 1533-position model. The record is from RNAcentral. RNAcentral also lists the same sequence under 1 other name.